Long non-coding RNA from Herpailurus yagouaroundi (jaguarundi), 668 nucleotides. RefSeq lists it as uncharacterized. The record is from RefSeq and is a predicted model, not a curated record. The transcript has 2 exons. NCBI's taxonomy places the organism in Eukaryota, Metazoa, Chordata, Mammalia, Carnivora, Felidae.
ACAACAGGCCGAAAGCGGCGGAAGUGUGGGUUUAACCAGAACUAGAAGCAGGACAGGACCUGCGCAGUCGACUUCCUGGCAGACACCACGGCAAGCUCUCCGACCACCUGCUUGAGCUCGCAUCCAAAACCGCGCGGCACACCCCGGGCUGCAGCCGCCAGAAGCCUUCCUGCCUCCCACGCGGGGAACACCAGCGCCUCGCAGAGAGCCUGCGUUCGCCUCCGUGGAGGCCUGGCGCCUCCUGGUGGUCGUUCGGGGAACAGCGCCGCGCCGCCCAGGCUGGGCGCUCUGCUGUCUUGAGUCCACGUCUGGGAUCAACUCCUGCUGUGGAUGCGCGCCACGGGCCUACCCAAUCAGAGGACAUUAUUCAUCUGGCCACUGUGAUUGGUUCAGGGCUGGACACAUGACCCGAAGCUGGACCAAUCAGAGGAUUCACUAACUACCCUGGGCUGCUGAAACUGUCAAGGGCACGCUCCUUUCUCGGAACUGUCUUCGCCAUCGCACGGAGAGAGGCAAGCCCAUCCAGGGAGAAGCAGAGCAGGAGGGGAGUGAAAGAUUCUGGUGACCAGGUUCUGCCAGGGGUGGAAGACGGAAUUACUUUGGACAUUUUAUUUCAGUGCUUCAAGUCGUAAAUAGUCUCCCCAAGUUAAAAAAAAAAUUUUUUUUAA